This is a long non-coding RNA of Macrobrachium nipponense, 1478 nucleotides long. RefSeq lists it as uncharacterized. The transcript has 3 exons. NCBI's taxonomy places the organism in Eukaryota, Metazoa, Arthropoda, Malacostraca, Decapoda, Palaemonidae. The record is from RefSeq and is a predicted model, not a curated record.
AAAGUAUACAUUUCAGUUUGAUUUAUUUUUAUUUCAGGGCCCCAGGAGACACGAGGACAGCGUUAUUCAACAACUCUUAACUCGGCAGCUGCAUAGGACGCAGAACGAAUGACACAUGACGCUCUAUAGAGGCAGAUGGGACUGGAAGUUUAGGCCAUAUUUCACCCAAGCCAAAGCGCAACAAGACGUACUGGUGACAAGACAAGUUUGUUGGCUUUAAAGGAGGUAUAUACCCGUAGACCUGACACCCUAGAUCCUCCUCAGCCUCAUCUUACCGGUUACCCUCACUGCUCUGGUCAAGUCAAAUUGGGAUUCAAAAUACCCUGGGGCCAAAGCAGCAGCGUUUCUUUUACGGCCUCAUCACAUGAGCGUCAAAGUGUGAAGUCCGUUUCUCUUAUGGCAUCAUCACAAGUGUGCCUGGCUGCUUCACAUGAAGGUCAUACGGCCCGUCCACACAGUCUAGCUUUGCUCGACGAAAUCUACUCGAUGUGACAUCAUAAGUGGAGAAACGGCGGAUAAGGUCUUGGCCACCUAUUUCGACCGUGUGGAAGGGACUUUAUGACGACUUCACACGAGCGUAAAAGUGUGAAGUCCUGUCCAAAAUUUACAAAGGCCAGUCAUCCAGGGCUGUCUAUUAAGAAAACUACUGUAUUUUUUUUAUGAGUGUUUCUGUAGUUUAGUUUACAGUAUUAUAUAUAAAAAAGGUACACAACAUGACGAGAUGUAUACCAUUAAUAUGGUCAGUAUAAGCUGCAUGGGCAUUUGCAAAUGAUAUAAAUAUCAAGCUCUCAGUAUUUAUUUUCAUUACAACAUUUACUGGAAAAAAACCACUACACAACAUUAAAUUUGUCUUUUAUUACUGUAAACUUUAAUAAGUUUGUUACAUUUAAAAUGGUUUUAUGGCAAUUUAUAUUGUGUUGAUACAUCUAAAUUCACAUUAAAUUAUUGUUAAUUCAAUGUCUUUAGAAAGAGCACGAGAACACAAACUUCAAACGCUUGCAAGUCCCUUUCUGAUGAUUCUUCAAGUCCAACUGAAGUCUGCCAAAUUAUUUCUUACAACUUAAUCUCUAUUUUUAUGCUACAAACUUUUUAUGCCAUACCAUAAAUUGCAUAUUAACUUUAAACUUUACACCAUGAACUCUCUAUACAUAGUAUAAUGUACUAUCAAAUCUCCCAUUUUUGUACCCUAUGUUGGAUAUAUACGAUCUCAACUAUAUUUUCAUACCAAUAUCAUAUCUUAUAUACAUACAAAAUGUUAAUUUUAUACCAAUUGCUGUAUAUUAACUAUGACCCCUUUAUCCUAAUAACAUACGCACCUACUUAAUACGAUUAUCAUAAAAUCACUUACGGCACAAAACUGAAAGAUCAAAAUAAUUAUUUAACUACCAGCCUUGGUCUAUUUUUAUACCAUAUGUUGCGUAUUAACUUCAAACGUUGUAUACUAUCAACAAUAUUUUUAUACCAUGUUACAAGAACUU